Oncorhynchus masou masou (cherry salmon) is the source of this 1331-nucleotide long non-coding RNA. RefSeq lists it as uncharacterized. The record is from RefSeq and is a predicted model, not a curated record. The transcript has 2 exons. NCBI's taxonomy places the organism in Eukaryota, Metazoa, Chordata, Actinopteri, Salmoniformes, Salmonidae.
UGUUUUGAUCCAGAGGUUAAAAGUUACACCGCGCAUGGCAUUCUGGGAAAUGUAGUAAUACCAGUAGAGUUGUUGCUUUGAAUCGCUUUAAUGUAUCAAUAACAUGACUACAUUCCCCAGUAUGCAACUCAACUCACUAUGCAACUCAAUGUUUGUAGUUUGUUAGCUGGCUAGGUAAGUCAGAGGUUUUCAAAUCGAUAUUGUCCAAUAAUCAAUACUUAGUUAAAGGAAGUGCAUGCCAUUCCGGAUCCAUACAAUAUGUUCGUUUUAAUAUAUAUAUAUAUAUUUUUGUCUGCACAUUGUUAGCUAGCUAGUAAUGUUAUCUCACUGCUAUCUGAAGACGUUACAGCUAGCCUACAGUAGUUUGGAAAUGGUUAGAUAUCGCUCCAGCCGUAAUUGAUCUCUCUGGAGUGUCAAAGUCACUCGGGUUUUUUAGCAGGGAGUUCACAGUCAGCUCCACUAAAGUCUCCAUAGGCAGAAUGAUGGCGUACACUUGUGCUGUCUGUGUAUCUGCCUACACAUAUUCUGAUUUACUGAGAACACAGCCGUUCUCUCCAGUGUCAUAAUCAUCUUCCUUGUCGGUAUGAUGGUUCACAUCCACUUUGUGAAGGUGGACCAUGUGACACUCAUCAUUGGUUCCCUGGGUGACCAGGUGUCUUCUAGCCACGCCUCCUGCACGGAAUCCUACAGACUUCAUAGAGAUGGGCAAGAUCAAAGACAUAGUAAAUUAAAAUGAAGCUAUUGUGAGGUUCUGUGUUGUACACUAUAGCCCGUUACCAUAUCAUAUGUGAUGGAAUAUUAUUUGCUGUUGGCUUGUGUGGGUAUAUGUGUUAUGCAACAUAGCUGACUUGAGACAUCGUUAACAGUUUCAGGGCCAUGGGCCUUUCUCGUGAUGGAAAAAAUACAGAAUAACAUGAAGACAGGACCUGUGCAAUGAGUUGUGGGGGCACAUUCAGAACGUAGUGUUGCGAGAACAAACAGUCUUUUGUUAGAGAACAGGAGCCAGGUGUUGUGAUAACUCUAUUGAGUGUGUGAGCGCAUAUAUAUUCUACACAACUACAACGACUGACCGCUGAAGCGCUUAGGGGGCUGGGACCAGCUCGGGCGCUAACAAUCAACGAUAGGCUGGGUGAGUUUAAACCACGCCCAGUCUCUACUCUGACAGGCCGGCUCGGAAGCAGGAACUACUUCUGUCAAGAGUAUAUUAUAAUAUCUUUGUCAGGAACAAGUCAGUUCUCUGUUUGCCCUGCGAGGUGGGACAGAGAGCCUGUAUAUACUGAAAUUGCAUUUACCACUUAUUGCUUAGCUAAUAAAAAAUACAUAGCAUACAA